Molecule: long non-coding RNA, 696 nt
Organism: Triplophysa dalaica
Lineage: Eukaryota; Metazoa; Chordata; Actinopteri; Cypriniformes; Nemacheilidae
Exons: 2
Source: RefSeq, a predicted model, not a curated record
UCCUGAUUGCAUCGCUGCCGGCGGCUAGUUUGUAUCCUCUGACACUUGCUUCACCUCACAUUUGUUCUUGGUCUUAUUAUUAGUGUAUUUUACUAUCGUUACAUAUCACUGUCGUUGCCGAAUUAUUUAUAACUUUAUAUUUUAAACCUAUAUUCAUUGAAACGUAACGCCGCUAGCAUAUUAGCGUGUUAGCUUGCCUUCUGUUUACAUUGUGGAACAUCAUCUCCCCCUAUUUGUCUUGUGUGCUAACUGUUUCUCUUUUUAAGUGUAUAUACUAAGACUCAUCAAGCAACCUUGGUUACCGCAGGAUGCAGUUCAUGCCCAGACCUGAUGGCAGAGCUGAGAAUGGGAAGCGGUGACCUGACAAGUGCUAAGAGGAUAGAGCUGGAUAAAGGACGCGACAACUUUGUUUUUUUCUACAACAUUUCAAAUGCUAUUAGAUUGUUAAUGAUAAUCUUUAAUUUUUAUAUUUUUAUUAAGUCUUGUUGUGCAAGCACUGAUGAGCUUGUGCAGAGGCAGCAGCUUUUGCCAGAGGGGAACUGGAAUCCCCUGGUUGGGCCUGGGUUCCCCUGAGGUUUUUUUUCUCGAUGGGAGUUUUGGGUUCCUCACCACCGUUUGCAUAUUGUUUUGCACUAUCUGCCUGGCCGGGGGGGCUGCUUUAGAAUUCAUACUUGUAUUAAAUGUGUCUCAUGUACA